UGCAAGUCGAACGGUAACAGGGAGCAGCUUGCUGCUCUGCUGACGAGUGGCGGACGGGUGAGUAAUGUCUGGGAAACUGCCUGAUGGAGGGGGAUAACUACUGGAAACGGUAGCUAAUACCGCAUAACGUCUUCGGACCAAAGUGGGGGACCUUCGGGCCUCAUGCCAUCAGAUGUGCCCAGAUGGGAUUAGCUAGUAGGUGGGGUAACGGCUCACCUAGGCGACGAUCCCUAGCUGGUCUGAGAGGAUGACCAGCCACUGGAACUGAGACACGGUCCAGACUCCUACGGGAGGCAGCAGUGGGGAAUAUUGCACAAUGGGCGCAAGCCUGAUGCAGCCAUGCCGCGUGUAUGAAGAAGGCCUUCGGGUUGUAAAGUACUUUCAGCGGGGAGGAAGGUGUUGUGGUUAAUAACCACAGCAAUUGACGUUACCCGCAGAAGAAGCACCGGCUAACUCCGUGCCAGCAGCCGCGGUAAUACGGAGGGUGCAAGCGUUAAUCGGAAUUACUGGGCGUAAAGCGCACGCAGGCGGUUGAUUAAGUCAGAUGUGAAAUCCCCGGGCUCAACCUGGGAACUGCAUUUGAAACUGGUCAGCUUGAGUCUCGUAGAGGGGGGUAGAAUUCCAGGUGUAGCGGUGAAAUGCGUAGAGAUCUGGAGGAAUACCGGUGGCGAAGGCGGCCCCCUGGACGAAGACUGACGCUCAGGUGCGAAAGCGUGGGGAGCAAACAGGAUUAGAUACCCUGGUAGUCCACGCCGUAAACGAUGUCGACUUGGAGGUUGUGCCCUUGAGGCGUGGCUUCCGGAGCUAACGCGUUAAGUCGACCGCCUGGGGAGUACGGCCGCAAGGUUAAAACUCAAAUGAAUUGACGGGGGCCCGCACAAGCGGUGGAGCAUGUGGUUUAAUUCGAUGCAACGCGAAGAACCUUACCUGGUCUUGACAUCCAGAGAAUCCUGCAGAGAUGCGGGGAUGCCUUCGGGAACUCUGAGACAGGUGCUGCAUGGCUGUCGUCAGCUCGUGUUGUGAAAUGUUGGGUUAAGUCCCGCAACGAGCGCAACCCUUAUCCUUUGUUGCCAGCGGUCCGGCCGGGAACUCAAAGGAGACUGCCGGUGAUAAACCGGAGGAAGGUGGGGAUGACGUCAAGUCAUCAUGGCCCU
RNAcentral lists this ribosomal RNA (1154 nucleotides) under Cronobacter sakazakii. RNAcentral's name for it is "bacterial SSU rRNA". It matches the Rfam family "Bacterial small subunit ribosomal RNA", at positions 56 to 1202 of the family's 1533-position model. Lineage: Bacteria; Pseudomonadati; Pseudomonadota; Gammaproteobacteria; Enterobacterales; Enterobacteriaceae. The record is from RNAcentral.